Molecule: small nucleolar RNA, 132 nt
Organism: Rattus norvegicus (Norway rat)
Lineage: Eukaryota; Metazoa; Chordata; Mammalia; Rodentia; Muridae
Product: small nucleolar RNA SNORA17
Source: Ensembl
CCUGUCCCAAGAGUCACUGCAGGUGUGGCUUCUGUGUUGCAUAUGCAUCAGUAGGUGACAGAGAGGAGUGUACCUAUGUCUACACUCAAUGUUCUGACCUGUGAACAUCAGAAUAGUUAGUGGCUUUGAAAA